This 425-nucleotide ribosomal RNA is filed under the name uncultured bacterium. RNAcentral describes it as "partial 16S ribosomal RNA". It matches the Rfam family "Bacterial small subunit ribosomal RNA", at positions 354 to 796 of the family's 1533-position model. The record is from RNAcentral.
GUGGGGAAUCUUGCGCAAUGGGCGAAAGCCUGACGCAGCCAUGCCGCGUGAAUGAUGACGGUCUUAGGAUUGUAAAAUUCUUUCACCGGGGACGAUAAUGACGGUACCCGGAGAAGAAGCCCCGGCUAACUUCGUGCCAGCAGCCGCGGUAAUACGAAGGGGGCUAGCGUUGCUCGGAAUUACUGGGCGUAAAGGGCGCGUAGGCGGACAGUUUAGUCAGAGGUGAAAGCCCAGGGCUCAACCUUGGAAUUGCCUUUGAUACUGGCUGUCUUGAGUACGGGAGAGGUGAGUGGAACUCCGAGUGUAGAGGUGAAAUUCGUAGAUAUUCGGAAGAACACCAGUGGCGAAGGCGACUCACUGGCCCGUUACUGACGCUGAGGCGCGAAAGCGUGGGGAGCAAACAGGAUUAGAUACCCUAGUAGUCC